This 837-nucleotide ribosomal RNA is filed under the name Arthrobacter sp. Its description in RNAcentral is "bacterial SSU rRNA". It matches the Rfam family "Bacterial small subunit ribosomal RNA", at positions 19 to 864 of the family's 1533-position model. Lineage: Bacteria; Bacillati; Actinomycetota; Actinomycetes; Micrococcales; Micrococcaceae. The record is from RNAcentral.
UCUGCUCAGGAUGAACGCUGGCGGCGUGCUUAACACAUGCAAGUCGAACGAUGAAGCGGUGCUUGCACCGUGGAUUAGUGGCGAACGGGUGAGUAACACGUGAGUAACCUGCCCUUGACUCUGGGAUAAGCCUGGGAAACUGGGUCUAAUACUGGAUAUGACCUUCCAUCGCAUGGUGGUUGGUGGAAAGCUUUUGUGGUUUUGGAUGGACUCGCGGCCUAUCAGCUUGUUGGUGGGGUAAUGGCCUACCAAGGCGACGACGGGUAGCCGGCCUGAGAGGGUGGACGGCCACACUGGGACUGAGACACGGCCCAGACUCCUACGGGAGGCAGCAGUGGGGAAUAUUGCACAAUGGGCGCAAGCCUGAUGCAGCGACGCCGCGUGAGGGAUGAAGGCCUUCGGGUUGUAAACCUCUUUCAGUAGGGAAGAAGCGAAAGUGACGGUACCUGCAGAAGAAGCGCCGGCUAACUACGUGCCAGCAGCCGCGGUAAUACGUAGGGCGCAAGCGUUAUCCGGAAUUAUUGGGCGUAAAGAGCUCGUAGGCGGUUUGUCGCGUCUGCCGUGAAAGUCCGGGGCUUAACUCCGGAUCUGCGGUGGGUACGGGCAGACUUGAGUGAUGUAGGGGAGACUGGAAUUCCUGGUGUAGCGGUGAAAUGCGCAGAUAUCAGGAGGAACACCGAUGGCGAAGGCAGGUCUCUGGGCAUUAACUGACGCUGAGGAGCGAAAGCAUGGGGAGCGAACAGGAUUAGAUACCCUGGUAGUCCAUGCCGUAAACGUUGGGCACUAGGUGUGGGGGACAUUCCACGUUUUCCGCGCCGUAGCUAACCGGCAUUUAAA